Long non-coding RNA from Cervus elaphus (red deer), 1969 nucleotides. RefSeq lists it as uncharacterized. The transcript is spliced from 3 exons. The record is from RefSeq and is a predicted model, not a curated record. NCBI's taxonomy places the organism in Eukaryota, Metazoa, Chordata, Mammalia, Artiodactyla, Cervidae.
AAAUGCGACCUGAGGCUCCGGCUGGGCGGGGGUGGCUGUGGGUGAUGGUUCGGCCUUGGGAUGCUGAGAAAUUCCGUGAAGGAAAACAGCGUGGGAAGAGAGAAACCGGGGCAAAAAGGGAAAAGGCUGGGCAGUGAGGAGAGAAAACAGCCCUACUGAUUAGAAAGCGCUCUGCCGGCUAAAGGAGCCACAAGGCAGAGGCCCUGAGGGACGACCCUUUUAAGAAGCGCAAAAUGACCGCUGUGUAGGCAGGUGUGCUAGGUGAAGUCCGAGAGGUAGCCGGGGGCUAGGUCCUGUUGGUUUUUAUUCUAAGAAAAAUGGGAAGUGGUUGAAAGAUACCAGAGGGAUGAUGGGAUAUGUCUUAAGUUUCAGAAAGAUGCCUCUGCUGACCGUGAAUAGACCAGAGAGCAGUCGCAAGGAUAGAGAGAUUGUAAAGGUGGAGGCAAAGAGAUUGUAGAGUUGAAGGUGAUUGCAAGUGAGGAGUUGAAUGCUAAUGUGACUGAAGUUGUCGUGAGUAAGGACUGAUAGGAAAUAGCCACGGGCCGGAUCAGAUAGAGUCUUGUAAAUCAUGGAAUUCUUUCCAGAAGAGUUGGGAGGCCCCACUUAAGUUUUGCAAGGAAUAUUCAGGUGGCCGUAUGUGAAUAGGCCAUAGAGGAGUGAGAAUGGAAGCAGGCAGAGUUCAGGUAAGAAGCUGUUACAGGGAUGGAGAGAGGUGGUGGAAAUAGUAGGUUGUAGAUUUUGGGGACCUAAUUUGAAGAUAGAGCCAACAGGUAAUCUCUGAAAAUUCAAUUAACUAUCAAGAAGAAAAAGGGAUUUUAUUCAAGCCAGAGGUUUAUAAAGUAGAAGCAGAUUCUCAGAAACUCUGAGAGUCCUUAACACCUUUUAGAAGUUGAAGGCAUAGCAGGUACAUUUUCAAGACAGAGGAUUGUACAUCAAAAUGACAUACUGAUGUUCUACAUAGAGUUCACCAAGGAUACACAAUCCAGGAUUGAAUACUGCUGGGAGGUGGAGUAAGACUUGUCUUUCCACUCACAACAAAGGACUGUCUCCAAACCACUGUUUCCUCAUUUGCAAAGAUGAAACAGGAGAAUCGCACCCAUCUUGGGUUGUUAAAAGGUGUGAACAUGCCUGGUGCAUAAAGAUCAAAGCCAUCCGCCCAUCCAUCCAGUGCUGCCUCCCUCUCAGGUCAGCCGUGAGUGUCAAAGGAGCUGAGAAGGAGGAAGUGCUUUGCCAACUGUGCAGCACUCUGCAGAAGCCUAAACUACUGUGGGAAUUUUUCCCUGUUCCUGUUACAAGGUUCUUUCACCCCAAAUCAACUUCAGUUCCAAAAUUCACAUGAAAGGGGUCCGGAAGAUUAAAAGUGUACCUUGUUUAACCUUUUUGAUUCAAUUCUGCCUAUCACUUAGGCAAUGAUUACAAAACAUAAAAUGUGUACUUUGCAGAGCGUGUUUCUGCAAGUUUCGUAGGCUCUGAAAACCACUGCCCUUCAAUCUUAAUGAGAGGAGCUGAAGCCAGAGAGCACAGAUGCCCCAGAUUACUGAAGUCUGCAGUGCCAUAAGUCUUCACAUCUCCCUUCAGCCGUGAUGACCCAGCCACCUUAGCACCUGCUGCGUGCUUUGUCUCUGGAAGGAGAAAGCUGAGAACCCAAGGACAGUGUGACCUCAGGUCUUGGAGAAGAGCCCCCAGUACAUGGCAGGCCCUUCUAGGCACAGAGGAAAGCUACAGGCAGUGAGCAAGACAGCUCUAGUCCCUGUUCUCACAGCAUGGUUUCAAAUACAAGGAAGAUAAGAAAAGUAACAUCCCCUGUGGUAAAUGCCAUGAGAGUGAUGGCAUGGUGUCUCUGAGAAAUGAAACGAGGUGCUAUUUCUAUGAAAUUUCUCAAGGCUGUGAAAGGACAUUAUUAGAAAUUAAAAAAAAAGAAAAGAAAGAAAAUCCCACUAUACAGGAGAAGGGGAUGACAGAGGGUGAG